This 531-nucleotide long non-coding RNA is filed under the name Pongo abelii (Sumatran orangutan). Its description in RNAcentral is "lincRNA". Lineage: Eukaryota; Metazoa; Chordata; Mammalia; Primates; Hominidae. The record is from RNAcentral.
ACAUGCCCACACCAGUGGCUUUGUGAAGCAGAGCACCAGCAGUGACAGUCCCACCAGAACCACAUGGAAUAGAAAACCGUGCAUUUCCCUAAGGAAAGGGAAUGCCAGAGAAGGGCACAAGGGAAAUCAGGAAGACAAAACAUGUCUUCAUGUUGGAGUGGACCUUUCCUCUAUCUGUCAACAGAAUGGAUAAAUUGUGGAAUAGUCAUAUCAGAAUACUACACAUCAGUAAAAAACAACAAACUUCUGCUACAAACAAUCACAUCGAUGAAUCUUGCAGACAAAAUGGCAAAGAAAAGUAUUGGUCUUCCAAAACAAAUAGAGGACGGAGCUGCUGCUGUUGCAUGGUCUCUAGAAACUCAGACAACUUCAUCAUUCCAUAUUUGCAUCCAAGAGAGAGAAAGAAAAACUACAAUCAUUUUCCACUUACCCAUCAACCCAUCAACCUCCAAAUAAAGGCUAUUAAAAAACAAUCAAAGUGUGAAGAGGGCAGAAAAUGUGAUGAAGAGAUUCUUUGGAGAAAGCAGCUGC